AACGCACCUUGCACUCCUUGGUAUUCCGAGGAGUAUGCUUGUUUGAGAGUACUGUAAUCAUCAAUCCUCCUUUACUUUUGUGAAGUUGGCUUGGAUUUGGGGAUUUGCUGGCCUUUCAUUAGAUCUGGCUUCCCUUGAAUGCAUUAGUUGAAUCGAGUUACAACGUUACGUGUAGUGUGAUAAUAUCUUCACUGCAUAGUUGUAAUGAAGUUUGGCUUCUAACAGUCCUUCAUUGGACAAUACUUUGAACAUUAUACCUCAAAUCAAGUAGGACUACCCGCUGAACUUAA
Molecule: unclassified non-coding RNA, 290 nt
Filed under: uncultured Agaricomycetes
Lineage: Eukaryota; Fungi; Basidiomycota; Agaricomycetes
Description: sequence contains ITS2
Source: RNAcentral